GAGCCUGACGCAGCACGCCGCGUGAGUGAUGAAGGCUUUCGGGUCGUAAAGCUCUGUCGAGGGGAAAGAAGUGUAUUGUGGUUAAUACCCAUGAUACUUGACGGUACCCCUAAAGGAAGCACCGGCUAACUCCGUGCCAGCAGCCGCGGUAAUA
Molecule: ribosomal RNA, 154 nt
Filed under: uncultured bacterium
Lineage: Bacteria
Description: partial 16S ribosomal RNA
Rfam family: Bacterial small subunit ribosomal RNA
Source: RNAcentral